Molecule: ribosomal RNA, 253 nt
Filed under: uncultured bacterium
Lineage: Bacteria
Description: partial 16S ribosomal RNA
Rfam family: Bacterial small subunit ribosomal RNA
Source: RNAcentral
UACGAAGGGGGCUCGCGUUGUUCGGAAUUACUGGGCGUAAAGCGCGCGCAGGCGGUUCUUCAAGUCAGUGGUGAAAGCCCGGAGCUCAACUCCGGAACUGCCAUUGAAACUGUUGAACGUGAGUACGAGAGAGGUGAGUGGAAUUCCCAGUGGAGAGGUGAAAUGCGUAGAUAUUGGGAAGAACACCGGUGGCGAAGGCGGCUCACUGGCUCGUAACUGACGCUCAGGCGCGAUAGCGUGGGGAUCAAACAGG